RNAcentral lists this ribosomal RNA (439 nucleotides) under uncultured bacterium. RNAcentral describes it as "partial 16S ribosomal RNA". It matches the Rfam family "Bacterial small subunit ribosomal RNA", at positions 338 to 795 of the family's 1533-position model. The record is from RNAcentral.
CCUACGGGCGGCAGCAGUGGGGGAUAUUGCACAAUGGAGGCAACUCUGAUGCAGCGACGCCGCGUGCGGGAAGACGGUCUUCUGAUUGUAAACCUGUGUCUUUGGGAAGGAAAAUGCCGAUACCCGAAGCGGAAGCUCCGGCUAACUACGUGCCAGAAGCCGCGGUAACACGUGGGGAGCGAGGGUUGUCCGGAAUUACUGGGUGUAAGGGGAGCGUAGGCGGGCGAGAAAGUUGAAUGUUAAAUCUACCGGCUUAACUGGGAGUUGCGUUUAAAAAUUCUUGUCUUGAGUGAAGUAGUGGCAGGCGGAAUUCAUAGUGUAGCGGUGAAAUGCGUAGAGAUCAUGAGGAACACCAGUUGCGAAGGCGGCCUGCUGGGCUAUAACUGACGUUGAGGCACGAAAGCGUGGGGAGCAAACAGGAUUAGAUACCCCUGUAGUC